UACGAAGGGUGCAAGCGUUACUCGGAAUUACUGGGCGUAAAGGGUGCGUAGGCGGUUGUUUAAGUCUGCCGUGAAAUCCCCGGGCUCAACCUGGGAAUGGCGAUGGAUACUGGGCAGCUAGAGUGUGUCAGAGGAUGGUGGAAUUCCCGGUGUAGCGGUGAAAUGCGUAGAGAUCGGGAGGAACAUCAGUGGCGAAGGCGGCCAUCUGGGACAACACUGACGCUGAAGCACGAAAGCGUGGGGAGCAAACAGG
RNAcentral lists this ribosomal RNA (253 nucleotides) under uncultured bacterium. RNAcentral's name for it is "partial 16S ribosomal RNA". It matches the Rfam family "Bacterial small subunit ribosomal RNA", at positions 524 to 776 of the family's 1533-position model. The record is from RNAcentral.